AAAAUAGUCAUUGGCAUCUUUAAUGCUUUGUUCAUCUUCCUGGCUUUAGUUCUUAAAGUGUGACUUUGUGUCUCAGCCAGACCCUUCCCCCCUCUGUGAAUUUGGGUGGGGGUUAGCCCUGUCAGGUUUUCUAGUGCAGCUAUAUGGGUGUGGUAGGAAGACUAUCUCCUAAAAUCUGUAGCUUUGCCUGCUAGGCUAUUAAAAUGAAUUAAAACCAUCCUCAAGACACAAUUGGCUUAGGCUUAUUAGCAUCACUUCUUGGUCACCUGCAUAAAGAAGCCAGAAGAAAUCCCAGCUACUCUCCAGUGCUUGGCUGACAGACUAACAUGGAUAAUUCAGGGGCAUGGGAAUUCUGUUCAGCUGAAUCAAUACAAGUGUCCUCACUGCGUAUCCUUCCAGAAUAUUCUUUUCCUGCUAUGGCUAAUGAGCAUCAUGCAACUCUGGGACUACCACCAAGGUAUUGUCAAGUCUUUUAUCACCCUGGCAACACAGCAGCUACUCUCAUAUGGUCACUAAGGGUAUACUAGAAAGAGAAGAACUUAAUUUCAAAUUGCAAUUGACACUGACCACAUGUGCAAGCAAAGUAUUGUGAUGUGAUUCAAGGACCUCUGAGACAUCCUCCUUCCUAAAAUCUCUUCACCUCCCUCCAAAGAGUUACUGUUGUGUUAUACUGUAAAGGUGAGUGUUGUCUACUGAAGACCACAUUUAAAAUGCAUGAAAGUGUUAGUAAACUCUUUAACCCUUUUCUAGUAUCAUAUUAAAGAUUUCUGAAUCAGAAACAAGUGAGUUAGACUUAAUUAAUCCUAGUGUUCCUACCAAAUCUAAGAUUUGCUUGUUAU
This 839-nucleotide long non-coding RNA is filed under the name Monodelphis domestica (gray short-tailed opossum). RNAcentral describes it as "lncRNA (ENSMODG00000032603.2)". Lineage: Eukaryota; Metazoa; Chordata; Mammalia; Didelphimorphia; Didelphidae. The record is from RNAcentral.